UACGGGGGGGGUAAGCGUUGUUCGGAAUUACUGGGCGUAAAGGGCUCGUAGGCGGCCAACUAAGUCGGACGUGAAAUCCCUCAGCUUAACUGGGGAACUGCGUCCGAUACUGGAUGGCUUGGAUUUGGGAGAGGGAUGCAGAAUUCCAGGUGUAGCGGUGAAAUGCGUAGAUAUCUGGAGGAAUACCGGUGGCGAAGGCGGCAUCCUGGACCGACAUUGACGCUGAACGGCGAAAGCUAGGGGAGCAAACGGG
This 253-nucleotide ribosomal RNA is filed under the name uncultured bacterium. RNAcentral describes it as "partial 16S ribosomal RNA". It matches the Rfam family "Bacterial small subunit ribosomal RNA", at positions 524 to 776 of the family's 1533-position model. The record is from RNAcentral.